This 760-nucleotide ribosomal RNA is filed under the name uncultured Gammaproteobacteria bacterium. RNAcentral's name for it is "bacterial SSU rRNA". It matches the Rfam family "Bacterial small subunit ribosomal RNA", at positions 92 to 849 of the family's 1533-position model. Lineage: Bacteria; Pseudomonadati; Pseudomonadota; Gammaproteobacteria. The record is from RNAcentral.
CGAGUGGCGGACGGGUGAGUAACGCGUAAGAAUCUGCCUAGUACUGGGGGACAACUCGGGGAAACUCGAGCUAAUACCGCAUACGCCCUACGGGGGAAAGCGGGGGAUCUUCGGACCUCGUGCUAUUAAAUGAGCCUGCGUCGGAUUAGCUUGUUGGUAGGGUAACGGCCUACCAAGGCGACGAUCCGUAGCUGGUCUGAGAGGACGACCAGCCACACUGGGACUGAGACACGGCCCAGACUCCUACGGGAGGCAGCAGUGGGGAAUAUUGCACAAUGGGCGCAAGCCUGAUGCAGCAAUGCCGCGUGUGUGAAGAAGGCCUGCGGGUUGUAAAGCACUUUCAAUUGGGAGGAAAAGUUCAGAGUUAAUACCUCUGGACCUUGACGUUACCUUUAGAAGAAGCACCGGCUAACUCCGUGCCAGCAGCCGCGGUAAUACGGAGGGUGCAAGCGUUAAUCGGAAUUACUGGGCGUAAAGCGCGCGUAGGCGGCUAGAUAAGUCAGAUGUGAAAGCCCCGGGCUCAACCUGGGAACUGCAUUUGAAACUGUCUGACUAGAGUAUGGUAGAGGGAAGUGGAAUUCCAGGUGUAGCGGUGAAAUGCGUAGAUAUCUGGAGGAACAUCAGUGGCGAAGGCGACUUCCUGGACCAAUACUGACGCUGAGGUGCGAAAGCGUGUGUAGCAACAGGAUUAGAUACCCUGGUAGUCCACGCCGUAAACGACGAGUGGCGGCGAGUGGCGGCGAGUGGCGGCGAGUGGCGG